GUUGAACGCUGGCGGCGUGCUUAACACAUGCAAGUCGAACGAAGCACUUUAACCUGAUUCUUCGGAUGAAGGUUUUUGUGACUGAGUGGCGGACGGGUGAGUAACGCGUGGGUAACCUGCCUCAUACAGGGGGAUAACAGUUAGAAAUGACUGCUAAUACCGCAUAAGACCACAGAGCCGCAUGGCGCGGUGGGAAAAACUUCGGUGGUAUGAGAUGGACGCGCGUCUGAUUAGGUAGUUGGUGGGGUAACGGCCUACCAAGCCAACGAUCGGUAGCCGACAUGAGAGAGUGAGCGGCCACAGUGGGAGUGAGACACAGCCCAAACUCCUACAGGAGGCAGCAGUGGGGGAUAUUGCCCAAUGGGGGAAACCCUGAUGCAGCGACGCCGCGUGAGCGAAGAAGUAUUUGAGUAAGUAAAGCUCUAUAAGCAGGGAAGAAAAUGACGGUACCUGAAGAAGAAGCACCGGCUAACUACGUG
RNAcentral lists this ribosomal RNA (479 nucleotides) under uncultured bacterium. RNAcentral's name for it is "partial 16S ribosomal RNA". It matches the Rfam family "Bacterial small subunit ribosomal RNA", at positions 28 to 507 of the family's 1533-position model. The record is from RNAcentral.